This 67-nucleotide transfer RNA is filed under the name Jankowskia athleta. Its description in RNAcentral is "tRNA-His". Lineage: Eukaryota; Metazoa; Arthropoda; Insecta; Lepidoptera; Geometridae. The record is from RNAcentral.
AUUUAAAUAAUUUAAUUAAAAUAUUGAUUUGUGGUAUCAAAAAAAUGAAUAAAAUUCAUUUUAAAUU